Molecule: non-coding RNA, 48 nt
Organism: Schistosoma rodhaini
Lineage: Eukaryota; Metazoa; Platyhelminthes; Trematoda; Strigeidida; Schistosomatidae
Source: Rfam
AUCCAGCUGACGAGUCCCAAAUACAGCGAAGUGACGUACGUCCUGGAU